Molecule: ribosomal RNA, 468 nt
Filed under: uncultured bacterium
Lineage: Bacteria
Description: partial 16S ribosomal RNA
Rfam family: Bacterial small subunit ribosomal RNA
Source: RNAcentral
GACGAACGCUGGCGGCGUGCUUAACACAUGCAAGUCGAACGGAAAGGCCCUGCUUUUGUGGGGUGCUCGAGUGGCGAACGGGUGAGUAACACGUGAGUAACCUGCCCUUGACUUUGGGAUAACUUCAGGAAACUGGGGCUAAUACCGGAUAGGAGCUCCUGCUGCAUGGUGGGGGUUGGAAAGUUUCGGCGGUUGGGGAUGGACUCGCGGCUUAUCAGCUUGUUGGUGGGGUAGUGGCUUACCAAGGCUUUGACGGGUAGCCGGCCUGAGAGGGUGACCGGCCACAUUGGGACUGAGAUACGGCCCAGACUGCUACGGGAGGCAGCAGUGGGGAAUAUUGCACAAAGGGCGGAAGCCUGAUGCAGCAACGCCGCGUGCGGGAUGACGGCCUUCGGGUUGUAAACCGCUUUCGCCUGUGACGAAGCGUGAGUGACGGUAAUGGGUAAAGAAGCACCGGCUAACUACGUG